Molecule: long non-coding RNA, 135 nt
Organism: Sebastes umbrosus (honeycomb rockfish)
Lineage: Eukaryota; Metazoa; Chordata; Actinopteri; Perciformes; Sebastidae
Exons: 3
Source: RefSeq, a predicted model, not a curated record
AUAUGGUCCUCGAAGGUCUGAGAGAGAAACUACUCAAUCCCUUCAGUUUAUGAAGCCCUUUCAAAACCACAUUCUUUAAUGUCAAUAAUGUUUAUCAUCAACAAAAAAAAUUAGGUCUGUUUCUCAUAGAUCCUA